CCUACGGGAGGCAGCAGUGAGGAAUAUUGGUCAAUGGACGAGAGUCUGAACCAGCCAAGUAGCGUGAAGGAUGACUGCCCUAUGGGUUGUAAACUUCUUUUAUAAAGGAAUAAAACGAGGCACGUGUGCCUUUUUGCAUGUACUUUAUGAAUAAGAAUCGGCUAACUCCGUGCAAGCAGCCGCGGUAAUACGGAGGAUCCGAGCGUUAUCCGGAUUUAUUGGGUUUAAAGGGAGCGUAGAUGGGUUGUUAAGUCAGUUGUGAAAGUUUGCGGCUCAACCGUAAAAUUGCAAUUGAUACUGGCAGUCUUGAGUACAGUUGAGGUAGGCGGAAUUCGUGGUGUAGCGGGGAAAUGCUUAGAUAUCACGAAGAACCCCGAUUGCGAAGGCAGCUUACUAAACUGUGACUGACAUUGAUGCUCGAAAGUGUGGGUAUCAAACAGGAUUAGAUACCCUUGUAGUC
Molecule: ribosomal RNA, 460 nt
Filed under: uncultured bacterium
Lineage: Bacteria
Description: partial 16S ribosomal RNA
Rfam family: Bacterial small subunit ribosomal RNA
Source: RNAcentral